GGGAGGUUAGCUCAGGGGUAGAGCGAUCGCCUCACACGCGAUAGGUCACAAGUUCGAAACUUGUACUUCCCACCA
Molecule: transfer RNA, 75 nt
Filed under: Oxalicibacterium solurbis
Lineage: Bacteria; Pseudomonadati; Pseudomonadota; Betaproteobacteria; Burkholderiales; Oxalobacteraceae
Also listed under: 38 other names
Description: tRNA-Val
Rfam family: tRNA
About the family: Transfer RNA (tRNA) molecules are approximately 80 nucleotides in length.
Source: RNAcentral